CCACCUCACACUCUUUGGGUCCACGGGUUUCUCUAAUCGAGCUGUAACACUCGCCACUGCGGCCCACGGCUUCAUUCCUUGAAGCCCGUGAGACCACGAACCCUCUGAUGGAGAAAAGACCUUCCAUUGGGAGAAGACUUCUCGUCUUAUUUCCACCUAUAAUCUCUUCAAAACAUAGCAGUCAGAGUUAUCUGCUGAACUCACAAGUCACUCAUCUGCUCAAAGCCUCCAGGUGGCUUCUCAUCUCACAGAAUUCUGUUCAGGAACCAUGACACAAAAGAUGAAAAACUACUGAGAUGCAGACAUUCAAGCAAAUGUCACAUUCCUGAUCACAGACAAAGGGAGAUGAGGAGAGGGCUACUGUGUAUCAUCUCAAUAGAGCAAGCUUUCUUAUAACUAGAAGUGGAAAAUGG
Long non-coding RNA from Pongo pygmaeus (Bornean orangutan), 413 nucleotides. RefSeq lists it as uncharacterized. The transcript has 3 exons. The record is from RefSeq and is a predicted model, not a curated record. NCBI's taxonomy places the organism in Eukaryota, Metazoa, Chordata, Mammalia, Primates, Hominidae.